Non-coding RNA from Calothrix sp. PCC 6303, 77 nucleotides. The record is from Rfam. NCBI's taxonomy places the organism in Bacteria, Bacillati, Cyanobacteriota, Cyanophyceae, Nostocales, Calotrichaceae.
CUACUGGUGGGGAGUUUUACCGUUGUGUCCCCUUGCUGCAUCUAGAAGGAGAGCGAUGUCACAGAUGCAGACAGUAU